Non-coding RNA from Acanthosepion pharaonis, 116 nucleotides. NCBI's taxonomy places the organism in Eukaryota, Metazoa, Mollusca, Cephalopoda, Sepiida, Sepiidae. The record is from the annotation of a GenBank genome assembly.
UUACGGCCAUAUCACUUUAAAACAUUGGUUCUCGUACGAUCACCGAAGUUAAGCAACAUCGAACCUGGUUAAUAGCCUAGACGGAUGAGCGCUUGGGAAUACCAGGUGCUGUAAGC